Molecule: ribosomal RNA, 1022 nt
Filed under: Gilliamella apicola
Lineage: Bacteria; Pseudomonadati; Pseudomonadota; Gammaproteobacteria; Orbales; Orbaceae
Description: bacterial SSU rRNA
Rfam family: Bacterial small subunit ribosomal RNA
Source: RNAcentral
AGGUGGUGUAUCUAAUAGGUGCAUCAAUUGACGUUAAUACAGAAGAAGCACCGGCUAACUCCGUGCCAGCAGCCGCGGUAAUACGGAGGGUGCGAGCGUUAAUCGGAAUGACUGGGCGUAAAGGGCAUGUAGGCGGAUAAUUAAGUUAGGUGUGAAAGCCCUGGGCUCAACUAGGAAUUGCACUUAAAACUGGUUAACUAGAGUAUUGUAGAGGAAGGUAGAAUUCCACGUGUAGCGGUGAAAUGCGUAGAGAUGUGGAGGAAUACCGGUGGCGAAGGCGGCCUUCUGGACAGAUACUGACGCUGAGAUGCGAAAGCGUGGGGAGCAAACAGGAUUAGAUACCCUGGUAGUCCACGCUGUAAACGAUGUCGAUUUGGAGUUUGUUGCCUAGAGUGAUGGGCUCCGAAGCUAACGCGAUAAAUCGACCGCCUGGGGAGUACGGCCGCAAGGUUAAAACUCAAAUGAAUUGACGGGGGCCCGCACAAGCGGUGGAGCAUGUGGUUUAAUUCGAUGCAACGCGAAGAACCUUACCUGGUCUUGACAUCCACAGAAUCUUGCAGAGAUGCGAGAGUGCCUUCGGGAACUGUGAGACAGGUGCUGCAUGGCUGUCGUCAGCUCGUGUUGUGAAAUGUUGGGUUAAGUCCCGCAACGAGCGCAACCCUUAUCCUUUGUUGCCAUUGGUUCGGCCGGGAACUCAAAGGAGACUGCCGUUGAUAAAGCGGAGGAAGGUGGGGACGACGUCAAGUCAUCAUGGCCCUUACGACCAGGGCUACACACGUGCUACAAUGGCGUAUACAAAGGGAGGCGACCUCGCGAGAGCAAGCGGACCUCAUAAAGUACGUCUAAGUCCGGAUUGGAGUCUGCAACUCGACUCCAUGAAGUCGGAAUCGCUAGUAAUCGUGAAUCAGAAUGUCACGGUGAAUACGUUCCCGGGCCUUGUACACACCGCCCGUCACACCAUGGGAGUGGGUUGCACCAGAAGUAGAUAGCUUAACCUUCGGGGGGGCGUUACCACGAGUCCG